AGAUUGAACGCUAGCGGGAUGCCUUACACAUGCAAGUCGAACGGCAGCACGGACUUCGGUCUGGUGGCGAGUGGCGAACGGGUGAGUAAUGUAUCGGAACGUGCCUAGUAGCGGGGGAUAACUACGCGAAAGCGUAGCUAAUACCGCAUACGCCCUACGGGGGAAAGCAGGGGAUCGCAAGACCUUGCACUAUUAGAGCGGCCGAUAUCGGAUUAGCUAGUUGGUGGGGUAACGGCUCACCAAGGCGACGAUCCGUAGCUGGUUUGAGAGGACGACCAGCCACACUGGGACUGAGACACGGCCCAGACUCCUACGGGAGGCAGCAGUGGGGAAUUUUGGACAAUGGGGGAAACCCUGAUCCAGCCAUCCCGCGUGUGCGAUGAAGGCCUUCGGGUUGUAAAGCACUUUUGGCAGGAAAGAAACGUCAUGGGCUAAUACCCCGUGAAACUGACGGUACCUGCAGAAUAA
Molecule: ribosomal RNA, 468 nt
Filed under: Achromobacter piechaudii
Lineage: Bacteria; Pseudomonadati; Pseudomonadota; Betaproteobacteria; Burkholderiales; Alcaligenaceae
Description: bacterial SSU rRNA
Rfam family: Bacterial small subunit ribosomal RNA
Source: RNAcentral